Long non-coding RNA from Prionailurus viverrinus (fishing cat), 1109 nucleotides. RefSeq lists it as uncharacterized. The record is from RefSeq and is a predicted model, not a curated record. The transcript is spliced from 5 exons. NCBI's taxonomy places the organism in Eukaryota, Metazoa, Chordata, Mammalia, Carnivora, Felidae.
UUUCCGUGUGCGGCGUGAGUCCGGGCAGAGCGCACCCGGGGGAAUCGGGAGCACGGGAAGUGACUUUUCCUCCGCUUCAGGAACGUGGUCGCAGCUGCACCGUGACACGGACGCCCACAUGUGACUUCAACAACGCAAAUGGCAGAGCUCGGUUCCCGCAGCGACGUCGCCGUGCACCUGCCGGCUGGUCUCAGACUGCGAAAAACCGCGCGUCUUAGCAAAGGCAGGGCAGGACCCCGGCAGAAACGCUGCCUGAGCUCUGACCCCUGGCGCUCCCGGCAUCCACCCCAAUUUUCCAUCUGGUCUCCAUUAUCUCACUUCGGCGCCUUCACAGACUUUGCUGGAAACGAAAGCAGUCAGUGUUCCUCUUCCCGUCUUCGGUGCUGGCCGAGGCGUGCCUCCUGCCACAGGGAGGAGAGCCCCCGGGGGUCCGGUCCACACAGCCCUCGCUCGCCCCUGCCCUGAGCCACCCGGCCUCUGCUGCUCCCUGGAAAGGCUCUGGAAUUCCUGAUUCCACAUCAUCUGUGCGUGUCAGGCCCGGCACACUGUUCCAGCCAGCUGUCUCCAACCCCCCGGGGUCCCCUCCUGUCUGUGGCCGGGGCUCCCCUGACCCGUGGCUGCUGCUUCCUCGGGCUGCAGGCUCCAGAGGAAAGCAGACGAGCCGGGUCUGGACCUGCCGGGUGCGUUCCCAGCGUUCUUCUGAGAGAGGUCCUGCAACAGCCCCCACCCGUGCCCCCCUGUAUCCCCAGGCCUGGCCAUCCCGGCACCACCCCCUACCAUCACAGAGCCCCGCCCCCCGCCCCGCCCCCCGCAAGCCACUGCCUGUGAGGCCGGAGCGCAGACGGCGUGGGAAUUACAACGUCGACCCUGAGAGCCCGCACCUCACCUCUUCGUGAUCAUCUCUGGAAAAGGGAUAUCAUGCGUGUAUUCUGAAUCACUUACGACCCACCCCUGGUUACCCGCUACUGUGAGGAGAGUCGGGGCCACAUUCGCACGUGUAUUUACCACUGAGGUGCCACAGAGCAGGGACGCUUGGACUAUCACAAGGACAGAGACAGGGGUGCCUGGGAGGGCUCAGUCUGUUGAGCAUCCAACUUCGGCCCAGGUCA